RNAcentral lists this unclassified non-coding RNA (336 nucleotides) under soil metagenome. Its description in RNAcentral is "partial contains 5.8S ribosomal RNA, internal transcribed spacer 2, and large subunit ribosomal RNA". The stretch from base 1 to 120 matches the Rfam family "5.8S ribosomal RNA", at positions 35 to 154 of the family's 154-position model. The record is from RNAcentral.
GAUGAAGAACGUAGCGAAAUGCGAUAAGUAAUGUGAAUUCCAGAAUUCAGUGAAUCAUCGAAUCUUUGAACGCACAUUGCGCCCGCCAGUAUUCUGGCGGGCAUGCCUGUUCGAGCGUCAUUUCAACCAUCAAGCCCCAGGCUUGUGUUGGGGACCUGCGGCUGCCGCAGGCCCUGAAAACCAGUGGCGGGCUCGCUGUCACACCGGGCGUAGUAGAUUUUAUCUCGCUCAGGGCGUGCUGCGGGUUCCGGCCGUUAAAAAGCCUUUUUUACCCAAGGUUGACCUCGGAUCAGGUAGGAAGACCCGCUGAACUUAAGCAUAUCAAUAAGCGGAGGA